Molecule: long non-coding RNA, 265 nt
Filed under: Panax ginseng (ginseng)
Lineage: Eukaryota; Viridiplantae; Streptophyta; Magnoliopsida; Apiales; Araliaceae
Description: long non-coding RNA (PGIN_LNC006806)
Source: RNAcentral
CAUCUAAAUGACCAUCCUCCAGCACAGCACAAAGCAUCUAAAUGACCAACAGCUACCGAGUGCAACAUCAACCCAUGUACCAGCUCACUGCAGUAGCCCGUGCACCAGCUCACUGUAGCCCAACAAAGAACCCAGUCCAUAGAAGGACACACUACUGAGGACUCAACCAAAAUCAGUCCAUAGCAAUAUUCGAUUUCAAUCUACAGCUUCCAGCAACCUUGAACAACAACAGCAGCUCACCAGUCCGCAGCAGGGCCCACAAUCA